AAACAUAUAGGACCUAAAUAUUUAGUAUGAAGCCUUGGGAGAAGGUAGAAGCCUAAGGAUGAAAAUCUAAACUAGUAGGAGGCUAAUUGAGAGGGAUGAAAGUAAGGCAUGGUUGGAUGAAGGCAAAGAAUGAGGAACUUCAUCCCUAUUGGUCGAAUAUCAUGCCCAAUGGGCUUUGAGGAUGCUGCCCAUGACCUUAACAAGGGUUUCAGUGACUUCAAAG
RNAcentral lists this long non-coding RNA (223 nucleotides) under Physcomitrium patens. RNAcentral's name for it is "long non-coding RNA (PPAT_LNC003773)". Lineage: Eukaryota; Viridiplantae; Streptophyta; Bryopsida; Funariales; Funariaceae. The record is from RNAcentral.